Molecule: long non-coding RNA, 1218 nt
Filed under: Homo sapiens (human)
Lineage: Eukaryota; Metazoa; Chordata; Mammalia; Primates; Hominidae
Description: HSALNT0143540
Source: RNAcentral
CUGAAUUUGCUAAUGACUUUCAAGCCAAUUAAACACAUCUCUAUAUGUCUCAAAGCAUUUAAUGAAAAAGUCCAUCUAAUUCUGUUGCAUUCUGUAUUUCAUUUCGUAAUUUUGACACAAUAAUCUGUUUUAUGUCCUGGUCUGUUCUGGUCCAUUUCAUUUGAUUUCAUUCUGUUUGCAUUCCUAUAGUGUAUUCCACACCAUUUCAUAUUCCAUCGCAUUCCAUUCUACACAAUUCCACAUCUCCCCGGCCACAUCAGCCUGAGAGUAAUAAACAGACCUUGCCAUCGUAUCCCCUUUUGGAGACACAAGCCAGGAAGGAAGCUCUUCAGUGCAGCUGUGAAUAGAGAAAUGCUGGCUGAGGUUUUGGAGACACUGGGUGAUCAUUCCCAGUGAAAUUUUUAGAUCCCUGGGGACAUGAGCUGCUUUGUCUUUUCCAAGGUCAGGAUAAACAGAAUAACUUCAGGCUUCUCUACCCAGAAAGAACAUGUGGCAUAAAUAUCAACUGCAGAAUAAAUAUGAUUAAUCUGGUACAUGGACGAAGAUGUUUUCUAGGAGAUGCUUAUCCUGGGAUGAGAGCUUUCAUAAGCAUUGAUAUUUACAUGACUCUUACCGUGUGUCAGGAACUGUUCUAAUUGUUUUACCUAUGUCAAUUCAUUUGAUAGUCACAACCACUGAAAGGAGACAGCAGACAGAGCAUGAAUGAGACCCCCAAAGAAGGGAAGCAAAUGAGACAAGCCCCACAAUUAUUCUGGCUUUUUGCCUAGAGACAAUCUAUGAACUGUGGGGCAAACAACAGAGAUCAAAACAGCUUGGCAAUCUGAGUUGAGGAUGAAGACACCAUUGGGGCAGAAGCAGCGAUAGCUCAAAUUUGUGGAGCAAAGUACCGGAGAAGAUAAACUGCUCCAAAUUCCAAGAGGCUGGGCAAAGAAAAACUUUGUGGAAAGAAGAAUUAUCAGGGAACUCUAAGCUGAAAAAUUGCCAGGGCUCACACAGACCUGGGGAAUUGGUUGAGUUUAUGCCACCUACAGGAUAGAGAACUUGCUGAAUGUUCAAGGAUUUUGUUACAGAUGCAAGAUGACACUUAAAGGGAUGCAAAACUAACAUCUCUGGAUUAGUCUUAAUAAAGUUUAAAAAUAAGCUUAGAAAAAGUCAAACGGAUCCACAGUUCUUCUUGUGUGACUUUGGGCAUGUUAAUAAGCUUUCUGAGUCUCAGUU